GGUUCCAUAGCGUAAGGGUUAACACGUUGUGAAUGCCUCUUUUAAGACCAAGGAUUUCUGUGGAGACUCCAGGUUCGAUUCCUGGUGGGGCCG
Mycena maculata is the source of this 93-nucleotide non-coding RNA. Lineage: Eukaryota; Fungi; Basidiomycota; Agaricomycetes; Agaricales; Mycenaceae. The record is from the annotation of a GenBank genome assembly.